CGGACGGGUGAGUAAUGUCUGGGAAACUGCCUGAUGGAGGGGGAUAACUACUGGAAACGGUAGCUAAUACCGCAUAACGUCGCAAGACCAAAGAGGGGGACCUUCGGGCCUCUUGCCAUCAGAUGUGCCCAGAUGGGAUUAGCUUGUUGGUGGGGUAACGGCUCACCAAGGCGACGAUCCCUAGCUGGGCUGAGAGGAUGACCAGCCACACUGGAACUGAGACACGGUCCAG
Molecule: ribosomal RNA, 232 nt
Filed under: uncultured Enterobacterales bacterium
Lineage: Bacteria; Pseudomonadati; Pseudomonadota; Gammaproteobacteria; Enterobacterales
Description: partial 16S ribosomal RNA
Rfam family: Bacterial small subunit ribosomal RNA
Source: RNAcentral